This 761-nucleotide long non-coding RNA is filed under the name Mytilus galloprovincialis (Mediterranean mussel). Lineage: Eukaryota; Metazoa; Mollusca; Bivalvia; Mytilida; Mytilidae. The record is from RNAcentral.
UUAUAAUUUUAAGUAAAUGAAUUUUAUUUUGAAAAAAACUUUGGCAACACAUUUUAAAAAAUCUACAAUUUACAGCAGAAUAUUAAUUGUAAAAAGAUUGUGUUGAUCUGAUAUAAGUUUUUUUUAACCAUGGUUUUAUCCAUCCACUGAUGCUUUAAUUGAUAAACAGGAGAUUCUUGCAAGACAAAAUGUGUGUUCAACAAAAUCAUGUUAUUUUAUUAAAUACACAAUUAGAAGUAAUGGCAGAGCCAUUUUUUUUUUUUUUAAUCAAACUUGCUAGAAAGAUAAGUGUAUUUUUUGUCGAGCUUUUUUUUUUAAAAUGGCUUCUGCUUAUGUGUUACAAGUAAUAUCAAACAAUGAAAUUGUUGUAGUCGUUAUAAAGUCAAAAAUAGACGUAGAUAAGGGAACUUGACUUUAGUUUUGUCUAGAUAUUGAGGUGAGCUUCAUGAGAGAUGGUCUUAAUAUUCAUGAAAUAUAAGAAUACUAAUAAAACCUCCACUAAACUUGGUGUGAAUACAACCACUGCCAAAUCAUAGAACAUCAAUUCAAUGUUACACAGGAUAGCAUAACAAGUUUUACCAUCAUGACAAAUGACAUAAGACUUAAUGGUAAUAAGACACGCAGGAUUCCUGUUAAAUAAGGAUUUAUAUAAAGAGGUUUUAUACUAAUGUAAAAUUUGGCAAAACAAAUAUUUAUGUACCAGUUUGACUUUAUAUGUGAUAGACUGAGAUCAAAUAUGAAAUAAAAUUAUAAUAAUGUCA